CAGUCGCCACGGUAAUACGUAGGGUGCGAGCGUUAAUCGGAAUUACUGGGCGUAAAGCGUGCGCAGGCGGUUAUAUAAGACAGAUGUGAAAUCCCCGGGCUCAACCUGGGACCUGCAUUUGUGACUGUAUAGCUAGAGUACGGUAGAGGGGGAUGGAAUUCCGCGUGUAGCAGUGAAAUGCGUAGAUAUGCGGAGGAACACCGAUGGCGAAGGCAAUCCCCUGGACCUGUACUGACGCUCAUGCACGAAAGCGUGGGGAGCAAACAGGAUUAGAUACCCGCGUAGUCCCUGUCUCUUAUAC
RNAcentral lists this ribosomal RNA (301 nucleotides) under uncultured bacterium. Its description in RNAcentral is "partial 16S ribosomal RNA". It matches the Rfam family "Bacterial small subunit ribosomal RNA", at positions 509 to 807 of the family's 1533-position model. The record is from RNAcentral.